GCGGGGGUGGCGGAAUGGCAGACGCGCUAGGCUCAGGACCUAGUGGGGUAACACCCGUAGGGGUUCAAGUCCCCUCCUCCGCACCA
Molecule: transfer RNA, 86 nt
Filed under: Deltaproteobacteria bacterium
Lineage: Bacteria; Pseudomonadati; Myxococcota; Myxococcia
Description: tRNA-Leu
Rfam family: tRNA
About the family: Transfer RNA (tRNA) molecules are approximately 80 nucleotides in length.
Source: RNAcentral